Molecule: long non-coding RNA, 1079 nt
Organism: Astatotilapia calliptera (eastern happy)
Lineage: Eukaryota; Metazoa; Chordata; Actinopteri; Cichliformes; Cichlidae
Source: Ensembl
CCAAAUAAGCCUUCUCCCCCCACCCUGCCUCAUAUGGUGCCAGCAAUUCUUUACUGAUAUCAUCAGCGGAUGCAAAUGAAUUUGGACGGGGCGGGGGGCGCGGGAGUGGAGGGGGGGUAGUGUUGGUGAUGUAGUCAUGGACAAAAUACCACACUGACUGCAGAAUGCUGCAUGUGGAGAGAUGGGAAUAUUGAAUACCCGGCCACCAGAACCAUCCCAAUUCAAUAUUGCAGGAAAAAAACACAUUCCUAUUCCAGAAAUCUUGGCUGUAAAAUACCACCAAGAAAAUCGCCAUUCAAAUGAGAUGCGUUUAUUUCUGCAUGGCCUUUGAAGAGAAGAGAGGGGUCGUGUCACUCAAACGAAGGAAAGGGCCACUACGUUAUAACCACCCCGCCACCCCCUCUUCUUCUUUUCCUUUUUUUUUUUUUUUUAACUCUCCUCUCGCUCAGACCGACCCCCACUUGUCCCCACACAUGCGCGCGCACAGACACACACGUACACAUAGCAAGCUGGCUUUGGGGGCGACAUAGAGGCUAGAUUAGAGCUUUACUUCUUUAACAAGGGAGAGGGGGCACUUCUAUAAUCACAGCGGCGGUAUGUGGGGCCACAAAGAGUUUGCAACCACAGGGCGACUGGUCUUCUGUAGAGUGGUCCAAGCCGUGGGCAAGCCAGGAAAAAAACGCUCUAUCCAGCGUAUUACUAGGAUCAAAACGCAGUGGUUAUAGUGCGUGAAGAGGUUAUUAACCCUCAGAGCACAGCAGAAGACCACUUCUAAAUCUCCAAAACAGCAUAACCCUAGCAUAACCUGAUUUAAGACAAUUCACCACGUUAACAUGACCAGAACGAAGUGCGAAGUAAUUAUUUAGUUUGUGUAGAGACAGAAAUGCAUCCCUUGUUGACGAUUUGGAGUGUGUUUCUGCACGCCUGCUGGCAUCCUCGCUCUCCCCUAAGCACAGCAGUGUAACGUGGACAUACAAAUUUGAUGGAUGGUGCUGAGUAAGAUGGAAAAAAAGGCAUGUAUUUAUCAACAAGCCUCUGAGGUGGCCGGGAGAGAGAGAGAGAAAGAGAUCCAAACAGAG